UCCCCGGUGGUCUAGUGGUUAAGACUCCAACUGCUAAAGCAGGAGAGACAGGUUCGAUUCCUGAUCUGGGAA
RNAcentral lists this transfer RNA (72 nucleotides) under Capra hircus (goat). It matches the Rfam family "tRNA". Rfam says of the family: Transfer RNA (tRNA) molecules are approximately 80 nucleotides in length. Their secondary structure includes four short double-helical elements and three loops (D, anti-codon, and T loops). Further hydrogen bonds mediate the characteristic L-shaped molecular structure. tRNAs have two regions of fundamental functional importance: the anti-codon, which is responsible for specific mRNA codon recognition, and the 3' end, to which the tRNAs corresponding amino acid is attached (by aminoacyl-tRNA synthetases). tRNAs cope with the degeneracy of the genetic code in two manners: having more than one tRNA (with a specific anti-codon) for a particular amino acid; and 'wobble' base-pairing, i.e. permitting non-standard base-pairing at the 3rd anti-codon position. The record is from Rfam by way of RNAcentral. Lineage: Eukaryota; Metazoa; Chordata; Mammalia; Artiodactyla; Bovidae. RNAcentral also lists the same sequence under 1 other name.